UACGUAGGGGGCUAGCGUUGUCCGGAAUCAUUGGGCGUAAAGCGCGCGUAGGCGGCCCGGUAAGUCCGCUGUGAAAGUCAAAGGCUCAACCUUUGAAUGUCAACGGAUACUGCCGGGCUAGAGUCCGGAAGAGGCGAGUGGAACUCCUGGUGUAGCGGUGGAAUGCGCAGAUAUCAGGAGGAACACCGGUGGCGAAGGCGGAUCUCUGGGCAGUAACUGACGCUGAGGAGCGAAAGCGUGGGGAGCAAACAGG
Molecule: ribosomal RNA, 253 nt
Filed under: uncultured bacterium
Lineage: Bacteria
Description: partial 16S ribosomal RNA
Rfam family: Bacterial small subunit ribosomal RNA
Source: RNAcentral